RNAcentral lists this ribosomal RNA (497 nucleotides) under uncultured bacterium. Its description in RNAcentral is "partial 16S ribosomal RNA". It matches the Rfam family "Bacterial small subunit ribosomal RNA", at positions 28 to 507 of the family's 1533-position model. The record is from RNAcentral.
GAUGAACGCUGGCGGCGUGCCUAAUACAUGCAAGUCGAGCGAACGGACGAGAAGCUUGCUUCUCUGAUGUUAGCGGCGGACGGGUGUGUAACAUGUGGAUAACCUACUUAUAAGACUGGGAUAACCUCGGGAAACCGGAGCUAAUACCGGAUAAUAUUUUGAACCGCAUUGUUCAAAAGUGAAAUACGGUCUUGCUGUCUCUUAUAGAUGGUUCCGCGCUGCUUUAGCUAGUUGGUAAGGUAACGGCUUAUCAAGGCAACGAUGCGUAGCCGACCUGGGAGGGUGAUCGGCGACAUGGGAACGGAGACACGGUCCAGACUCCUACGGGAGGCAGCAGUAGGGAAUCUUCCGCAAUGGGCGAAAGCCUGACGGAGCAACGCCGCGUGAGUGAUGAAGGUCUUCGGAUCGUAAAACUCUGUUAUUAGGGAAGAACAUAUGUGUAAGUAACUGUGCACAUCUUGACGGUACCUAAUCAGAAAGCCACGGCUAACUACGUG